RNAcentral lists this non-coding RNA (133 nucleotides) under uncultured eukaryote. The record is from RNAcentral.
GUCGAUAAAAAAAAAGAGAGAGAUGAGUACGAAAAUAGUAAAUUGUAAACGCCGAAAUUUUAAGGAGUUCACUCCGACGAGAAUUUUACUAGCAGUCUUAUUUUGUUUUCUUCUUCUCUCGCUCUCUUUUUCC